GACCCCGUCGUCUAGCCCGGUCCAGGACACCGGCCUUUCACGCCGGCAACGCGGGUUCAAAUCCCGCCGGGGUCACCA
Molecule: transfer RNA, 78 nt
Filed under: Rhodospirillales bacterium
Lineage: Bacteria; Pseudomonadati; Pseudomonadota; Alphaproteobacteria; Rhodospirillales
Description: tRNA-Glu
Rfam family: tRNA
About the family: Transfer RNA (tRNA) molecules are approximately 80 nucleotides in length. Their secondary structure includes four short double-helical elements and three loops (D, anti-codon, and T loops).
Source: RNAcentral